RNAcentral lists this non-coding RNA (23 nucleotides) under Arabidopsis thaliana (thale cress). The record is from RNAcentral. Lineage: Eukaryota; Viridiplantae; Streptophyta; Magnoliopsida; Brassicales; Brassicaceae.
AGAAUGCUACUCGACACACCCUC